This 1992-nucleotide ribosomal RNA is filed under the name Triticum aestivum (bread wheat). Its description in RNAcentral is "partial small subunit ribosomal RNA". The record is from RNAcentral. Lineage: Eukaryota; Viridiplantae; Streptophyta; Magnoliopsida; Poales; Poaceae.
GCAGACCUUCUGGAUGGCCUGCUAGACUCUAUCAUUGCUCGACUCGGCUCCUUCCAUGAUCUUCUUGCCUUUGAAGCCACUUGCCAUUCUUGGCGUGCCGUGUUUUCUUCAUGUUCAUGCAAAUAUGCCUUGGCAGCAUCAUUCCCACCUCUCCUUCUCCAACCCGAUCUCUCUUUGAUCUCUACACAUUCAGGCCCCUUAAAAAAGUUCAUGGUGUCCACAUGCCCAUGUCAUGUCACUGAUAUAGCCAAUCAAGGCACCACCUACAAGUACUUUGAGAUUCCAAUAUUAUGGUGGUCUCGUGGAAAUAAUGCCUCACCAAGUCCUAGAGAAUGGUUCGGCUUCAGUGGGGCUUCCUAUGGUCAUCUUAUUUUUUCCAGCAAUAAAUCAUGUGUCGUUUUUGAUGUGUUCACACGCUUUAGUGUCUCAUCUCCACAACUGCCGGUCUUGGAAAGCACUGGGCUCAUCUACGGUGCGCUCACAGCUCCUCUCUCAUCACCUAACUCACAUCUCAUAUCACAAAAUCUGUUUUGGCGUGUUGGAAGCCAAUCUUGGGUGGGACAUUCUCUUUAUCAUGGACCAAUCAAGCAAAUCGUGAUCUUCCAAGGGAAAGUGUUUGGCAUGGACUCUGAUUGCAGGCUCUUCAAAGUGGACUUGACACCCCAGAUAAGAAUACAAGAACUCCUAGUUAUAAAGUCACGCAUGAUCAAUAAACGGCAUUUUUCUAAUGCAUGGUUGGUGGCAUGUGGCGAUAUGCUUCUCUUAGUUGGCUUUCGAAGAAUUGAUGGAAUAAUGGGGAGAACCUUCGAAGUCUUCCGCCUUGACCUAUCGACUGAGCCUGCAUUAUGGCUAAAGAUGGAGAAGUUGGAGAAUUGGGCAAUAUUCAUCAGCAGAGAUCAGAGAAGUCAGGCAUUGUCUUGCAUUAAUCCAGAGAAAUGGGGAGGGAGGAGCAACUGCAUAUACUGCUAUGACUGGAAGUCUAAACAUUGGAUUGCACUUGAGUUGGGCAAGCAAUGGCGGAGAGAUGGCUUCGAACUCGAGUCAAAUGUGUGGGUUACGAUGGACUGCGACACAAGGGCACGACCUAUGUGGGUUAUCCCCAGCAUGUUCUCUCUGCGUCGGCACACCAUCAUCACCAACUCUAUUUUUUAUAAGAGUAGAGACAAUACCCCACCAAGUCCUCUAGAAGGGUUUUGCUUCAAUGGUGUUGCCUAUGGUCAUCGCAUUUUUUCAAGAGAUAAAUCAUGCCUCAUUGUUGAUGUGUUCACAGGUGUUAGUGUCUCAUCCCCACAACUACCGGUUGUUAAGGACACCGAGCUCUUCUAUGCUGCCCUCACUGCUCAUCUAGCAUCACCUAACUCACAUCUCAUUGUCGAUAUCGGAUCACGCAAUUUGUUUUGGCGUGUUGGUAGUCAAUAUUGGGUGGGACGUUCUCCUGUUGAUGGACCAAUAAAGCAAAUUGUGGUUUUCAAAGGGCAUGUCUUUGGCAUCGAUAAUGAUCUCAAACUCUUCAAUGCGCAGUUGACACCCCGGAUUCACAUACAAGAAAUACCAGUUAUGGAGUCAAGCAUGAUUAAAAAAUGGCAUCGUUCUAAUGGAUGGUUGGUGACUUGUGGCGAUAUGCUUCUCUUGGUGGCCUUGCGGGGACCUAUUAUAGUAACAGCGGUAACCUUCGAAGUCUUCUGCCUUGACCUAUCGACUGAACCUGCAUCAUGGCUGAAGGUGGAGAAGCUAGAGAAUUGGGCAAUAUUCAUUAGCAUCGAUAAGAGAAGUCAGGGAUUGUAUUGCAUGAACCCGGAGAUAUGGGGAGGGAGGAGCAACUACAUAUAUUGCGAUAAUCAUGACUCUAAACGUUGGGUUGCACUAGAGUUGGGCAAGCCAGUGCAGGGAGAUGGCUCCACCUCGACAUUCAAUCCAAACGUCUUCAUAUUCACGGGUCGUAACAGUAGGGUGCAACCUAUGUGGGUUGUCCCUAGCAUGCUCUCCUUGUGC